AGCUUUUUGAAUCCGUGCUGAGAUUUCGUCAGACACCAACCUAUUUGGGCCGAUCACACUUCCAAGAUAAGUGAAGUU
Schistosoma mansoni is the source of this 78-nucleotide microRNA precursor. It matches the Rfam family "mir-3492 microRNA precursor family". The record is from Rfam. NCBI's taxonomy places the organism in Eukaryota, Metazoa, Platyhelminthes, Trematoda, Strigeidida, Schistosomatidae.